ACACGGUGGAUGCCCUGGCAGUCAGAGGCGAUGAAGGGCGUGCUAAUCUGCGAUAAGCGCCGGUAAGGUGAUAUGAACCGUUAUAACCGGCGAUACCCGAAUGGGGAAACCCAGUGUGACUCGUCACACUAUCAUUAACUGAAUCCAUAGGUUAAUGAGGCGAACCGGGGGAACUGAAACAUCUAAGUACCCCGAGGAAAAGAAAUCAACCGAGAUUCCCCCAGUAGCGGCGAGCGAACGGGGAGGAGCCCAGAGCCUGAAUCAGCAUGUGUGUUAGUGGAAGCGUCUGGAAAGGCGCGCGAUACAGGGUGACAGCCCCGUACACAAAAGCGCAUGUGCUGUGAGCUCGAUGAGUAGGGCGGGACACGUGGUAUCCUGUCUGAAUAUGGGGGGACCAUCCUCCAAGGCUAAAUACUCCUGACUGACCGAUAGUGAACCAGUACCGUGAGGGAAAGGCGAAAAGAACCCCGGCGAGGGGAGUGAAAAAGAACCUGAAACCGUGUACGUACAAGCAGUGGGAGCACCCUUUGGGUGUGACUGCGUACCUUUUGUAU
This 554-nucleotide ribosomal RNA is filed under the name Salmonella enterica subsp. enterica serovar Enteritidis. RNAcentral describes it as "partial 23S ribosomal RNA". It matches the Rfam family "Bacterial large subunit ribosomal RNA", at positions 19 to 613 of the family's 2925-position model. The record is from RNAcentral. Lineage: Bacteria; Pseudomonadati; Pseudomonadota; Gammaproteobacteria; Enterobacterales; Enterobacteriaceae.